Long non-coding RNA from Oncorhynchus kisutch (coho salmon), 2429 nucleotides. NCBI's taxonomy places the organism in Eukaryota, Metazoa, Chordata, Actinopteri, Salmoniformes, Salmonidae. The record is from Ensembl.
AUGGCCUUGGAGCUAAAUAAAGGCAGGCCCGUCUUAGAGGGGAUCCCUGGGGGGAAAGAGACGAGCAUAGGUUCCUCCCAAGAUGCCACCCGCUUCAUUCAAGUGUCUGGCAGCACUGUGUUCCUGUUAGAGCCACCAGCACAAGCACCAGACGAUGCUGAUCCAGGUGAAGGCCCCAGUGCAGCAGCAACAGCACAUGAUGGAGACGAUGAUGAGGAGGAGACCAUCUCUCUGGAUUCCAGAAGGCAUGAGGACCCAGAUGCUAUACAGUGGGAAAACCAGCCUGGCAACAUAAGCUCACAAGCUAUCAGAAAGUUGUAUGGCAACCACCUCCGGCGCCAAAUAGAACUGGCAGACAUAGACAUUCAGUACAAGAAGAAAAAGAUGGAAAAUCUUGCACUGGAGUUCAAAAUAAAAAAGAGGACAAUUAGGAAACUGGACCUUGAAAUAAAAAAACUUGAGAGGGAGGUGAGAUAUGCCUUCAAUGUACACUGUAUGCUAACUGUAACACAAAUGUAUUAAUCAUUAUUUUUCUUUCCUCCCCCAGCUCCAAGAAGAUGACACAGCUCAAAAUAAAAAUUAGGUAUAUUCUCGUAAAGUCAAGUGAGCCAUGACAUAUGAGCUCUUAUUGUGAGCACACAGGACGGUGGCAUCUUUCUAAUUUUUUUAUUUUUUUUUCCCAGCAAUCAGUACAACCAAGUCAUCGUUAUAAGGCAUCGCCCUCUUUUGCCCACCCCCCCAGCACCAGGUGUGGCCACUAGCCUAUAUGAAGGCCCAAAAUUGUGUGUUCCUUUCUGCUCUGACAAUGGCAUGCCCAUUCGUGCGAGAUGUGGUGGAUGAAGAAGCACUUGUGCUGAGGAGAGCCUUCAGGCGAGAAAGGGUCUUCAGGGACCGGUUGGACCCACUGGCCUUCCCUGAUGACCAUCUAUAUGAAAGAUACAGGUUUUCUGCAGAUGGCAUCAGGUAUCUAUGCAGACUACUGGGUCCCAGGAUUAAGCACCACACUGCACGGAGCCAUGCACUGAGUGUGGAGCAAAUGGUUUGUGUGGCCUUGCGCUUUUUUGCUAGUGGAGCCUUCCUGUACUCAGUGGGGGAUGCAGAACAGCUGAACAAGGCCACAAUUUGCCGCACAAUAAGGAGUGUGUGUCUGGCUAUCAAAGCAUUAGCAGAUGUCUUCAUCUCCUUCCCUGGCCACAGAAGACUCUGUGACAUCAAAGAGGAGUUCUAUAGGAUUGCAGGUAAGAGGAUCUACAAAUUACAGGACAACUGUUAACACAUAGUAGGAUACUCAUUACUUUGUGUGACAGGUUUCCCCAAUGUCAUUGGUGCAGUGGACUGCACACACAUAAGGAUAAAAGCCCCCUCAGGUGCCCAUGAGGCCGAUUUUGUGAAUAGGAAAUCCUUUCACAGCAUUAAUGUUCAGGUGAACAUAACUUUUUGAUAUUGUCCAUUGACGAACACUCUGCAUUGCCAGUGAUGUGCAUUGAUUGGUGUAAUAUUCCUCAUCUUAUGAUUUCAGAUGGUCUGCAAUGCUGACUGUGUGAUCAGCAAUGUUGUGGCAAAAUGGCCUGGCUCAGUCCAUGACUCCAGAAUCUUUCGGGCCUCUGAAAUCUAUCAGUGCCUAUCACAAGGUAAGCCACACAACCCCUAUUUAUAACCAUCAUGGCUGUGUCAAGAAUAUCACUGUUUAUGAGGUAGUAAUGAUGAGAUUUUGUGUUGACAGGUGAAUUCUCUGGUGUGUUGCUGGGAGACAGGGGGUAUGGCUGCCAGCCUUUUCUCCUGACACCUUUCACAGACUCCCAGGAAGCACAGCAGGCCUACAACCAUGCCCAUGCCAGGACCAGGGCCAGAGUUGAAAUGAUAUGGCUUGUGCUGUCCUCCACAAUGUGGCCUGCCUGAGGAAGGAGAGGGCCCCCAGAGUGCCACCAGCCAUGGACUGGGACAAUCCGGCAAUCUUCCCUGAUGACGACAGUGGUCGGCUGCUGAGGGACCAAUAUGUGUUGAAUUAUUUUAGUUAGUAUGUGUGCUUUCAAUUUUGGUUAAAUAUGUCCUGCGGUGGCAGAGGAAUUUGGUUUUUUUGGGGUUCGUUUUUUGACGAAUUUGGCCUCUUAGGAUGUUUGUGCGGUAUACUGUAUGUAAUACAAGGCUGCAGGGAGGCUACUGCAUCCAUUCAUUUGUCUGUUCAGUUGAUGUGUAUGGAUUUGUCCUGCAUUUAUUUUAGUGUGCAGACAUGCAGGGUGUGUUAUAUACAGACCUUUGAAUGUGUAUGUAUCAUUUUGUAUAAUAUGCUUGGAUUCUGUGCUUUCCAUCUUGUAGAGUCACUGUGACUUCAGUUUCGAAAGGAGCUGAUGGUUUACCUGCUUUGUUUUGUCCUUAUUCAAUAAAGGAACAUAAUGUUACACAUUGUGUUUUUAUAUUCAUAUGGAAUG